UGCUGGCUUGGACAGCAAUGUGCUAAAAUUGGAACAAAACAGAUUAAGUUGGUCCCUGCGCAAAGAUGACGCACAAAUUCUUGAACUGUUCCAUAUACCA
Small nuclear RNA from Vulpes vulpes (red fox), 100 nucleotides. Lineage: Eukaryota; Metazoa; Chordata; Mammalia; Carnivora; Canidae. The record is from Ensembl.